GUUGAACGCUAGCGGCAGGCCUAAUACAUGCAAGUCGAGGGGCAGCACAGGUAGCAAUACUGGGUGGCGACCGGCAAACGGGUGCGGAACACGUACGCAACCUUCCUUCAAGUGGGGGAUAGCCCGGGGAAAACCCGGAUUAAUACCCCGUAAUACUGUGAGAUGGCAUCAUCUUACACUUAUAGCUCCGGCGCUUGAAG
This 200-nucleotide ribosomal RNA is filed under the name uncultured bacterium. Its description in RNAcentral is "partial 16S ribosomal RNA". It matches the Rfam family "Bacterial small subunit ribosomal RNA", at positions 28 to 224 of the family's 1533-position model. The record is from RNAcentral.